This is a long non-coding RNA of Oncorhynchus tshawytscha (Chinook salmon), 2062 nucleotides long. The record is from Ensembl. NCBI's taxonomy places the organism in Eukaryota, Metazoa, Chordata, Actinopteri, Salmoniformes, Salmonidae.
CCUGUCCCCACACCUACCCACAGCCCCCACCCAAACGCCUGUCCUCACACCUACCCACAGCCCCCACCCAAACGCCUGUCCUCACACCUACCCACAGCCCCCACCCAAACGCCUGUCCUCACUCCUACCGAUGGACAACUUCUACUUGAAGAGUCACUUUCAGCAUCGUAAGUCCCACCCUCACAGUUAAAAAGAACCGCCCCCACCCCCAGACAGACAACCAAUGGAAUAAGAGAAAGAAAAAGCAUGCAGGUGAUUGGAUGGAUACAGGAUUUUGCUUUUACACAACGGACCAAACUCUAACCAACCUGAAGCGGAUUGAUGUCUUAUCAAUAACGUACUGUAACCACCUUGUCUGAUGAGGACAAUGAUAUGUUGAGUGAUAUGAUUGAUGUAUAUUUAGUCAAUGAUAUGUUGAGUGAUAUGAUUGAUGUAUAUUUAGUCAAUGAUAUGUUGAGUGAUAUGAUGUAUAUUUAGUCAAUGAUAUGUUGAGUGAUAUGAUUGAUUUAUAUUUAGUCAAUGAUAUGUUGAGUGAUAUGAUUGAUGUAUAUUUAGUCAAUGAAGCGCAGGUGAUAUGUAUGUUUGUGUGUGUAUGUCUGUGUUCGAGUGUGUGAACACGUGCUUGUGUGUGUGUGUGUGUGCGUGCUUAAUAGUGUGAGCGCAUGCCUGCGUGUGUUGAGAGCACAGCGCCACAGACUGACGUGAUAUAGAGACAUCGAUCGUAGUUAAUACCACAGACUGAUGUGAUAUAGAGACAUCGAUCGUAGUUAAUACCACAGACAGACUGAUGUGAUAUAGAGACAUCGAUCGUAGUUAAUACCACAGACUGAUGUGAUAUAGAGACAUCGAUCGUAGUUAAUACCACAGACUGAUGUGAUAUAGAGACAUCGAUCGUAGUUAAUACCACAGACUGACGUGAUAUAGAGACAUCGAUCGUAGUUAAUACCACAGACUGAUGUGAUAUAGAGACAUCGAUCGUAGUUAAUACCACAGACUGAUGUGAUAUAGAGACAUCGAUCGUAGUUAAUACCACAGACUGAUGUGAUAUAGAGACAUCGAUCGUAGUUAAUACCACAGACAGACUGACGUGAUAUAGAGACAUCGAUCGUAGUUAAUACCACAGACUGAUGUGAUAUAGAGACAUCGAUCGUGGUUAGUGACAAUGACAGACAAUGAUAUUUACAUAUAAACUUUUGAAAAUGCUAAAUACACAUCCUCCUGUUGGGAGUAUUACCAGUAUCAUCAUUCACCAACCAGCCUGGAACAUUGACACAUUAUUGAUUAUCAAUAUCACUAAUCACUUUAGUACAGUGUAAAGGAGCAGACCAGACAACUAGCCACUAUCCCUGUGUUGGCAUACAGCAUCAGGGUCCUAUUCAUUAAGACACGCAAUGGACAAUGUUGGAAAAUGUUUUGCAAUGGAAAACCACAUAUGAGCAUUUCUUACAGGACAAGGCCAGAUAGUUCCUCUCCUCGUUUCCCUUUUCUUCAUUUGCUGCUUUAAUGAAUACGACCCAGGGAUGUAGGAGGGCAAACGCUCGUAAACUGUUGUUUAAACACCCCUUUACUUUGUUUAAACACCCAUUUACUUUGUUUAAACACCCAUUUACUUGGUGAACACUGUUGUUGUUUAAACACCCAUUUACUUGGUGAACACUGUUGUUGUUUAAACACCCAUUUACUUGGUGAACACUGUUGUUGUUUAAACACCCAUUUACUUGGUGAACACUGUUGUUGUUUAAACACCCAUUUACUUGGUGAACACUGUUGUUGUUUAAACACCCAUUUACUUGGUGAACACUGUUGUUGUUUAAACACCCAUUUACUUGGUGAACACUGUUGUUGUUUAAACACCCAUUUACUUGGUGAACACUGUUGUUGUUUAAACACCCAUUUACUUUGUGAACAAUGUUGUUGUUUAAACACCCAUUUACUUGGUGAACACUGUUGUUGUUUAAACACCCCUUUACUUUGUUUAAACACCCAUUUACCUUGUUUAAACACCCAUUUACUUGGUGAACACUGUUGUUGUUUAAACACCCAUUUACUUGGUGAACACUGU